AGUGAACGCUGGCGGUAGGCCUAACACAUGCAAGUCGAACGGCAGCACAGUAAGAGCUUGCUCUUACGGGUGGCGAGUGGCGGACGGGUGCGUAAUACACCGGACUAUACUUUUUAGCGGUGGAUAAUGUAGGGAAACCUACGCUAAUACCGAAUACGUGCUACGAGUGAAACCAGGGUCUGUUCAGCCAUUUGGCGAGUGAAUGACCCGAUGUCGGAUUAGCUAGUUGGCGGGGUAAAGGCAUAACAAGGCGCCGAUGCGUAGAUGGUCUGAGAGGAUGAUCAGCCACACUGGAACUGAUGAACGGUCAAGACUCCUACGGGAGGCAGCAGUGGGGAAUAUUGGACAAUGGGGGCAAGACUGAUCCAGCCAUACCGAGUGGGUGAAGAAGGCAUUCGGGUUGUAAAACGCUUUUGUUGGGAAAGAAAAGCAGUAGGUUAAGACCCCGCUGUUCUGACGGUACCCAAAGAAUAAGCACCGGCUAACUUCGUG
Molecule: ribosomal RNA, 492 nt
Filed under: uncultured bacterium
Lineage: Bacteria
Description: partial 16S ribosomal RNA
Rfam family: Bacterial small subunit ribosomal RNA
Source: RNAcentral